CCACUUGUUGCCUCGGCGGAUCAGCCCGCUCCCGGUAAAACGGGACGGCCCGCCAGAGGACCCCUAAACUCUGUUUCUAUAUGUAACUUCUGAGUAAAACCAUAAAUAAAUCAAAACUUUCAACAACGGAUCUCUUGGUUCUGGCAUCGAUGAAGAACGCAGCAAAAUGCGAUAAGUAAUGUGAAUUGCAGAAUUCAGUGAAUCAUCGAAUCUUUGAACGCACAUUGCGCCCGCCAGUAUUCUGGCGGGCAUGCCUGUUCGAGCGUCAUUUCAACCCUCAAGCACAGCUUGGUGUUGGGACUCGCGUUAAUUCGCGUUCCCCAAAUUGAUUGGCGGUCACGUCGAGCUUCCAUAGCGUAGUAGUAAAACCCUCGUUACUGGUAAUCGUCGCGGCCACGCCGUUAAACCCCAACUUCUGAAUGUUGACCUCGGAUCAGGUAGGAAUACCCGCUGAACUUAAGCAUAUCAA
Molecule: ribosomal RNA, 469 nt
Filed under: Fusarium sp. ELM141
Lineage: Eukaryota; Fungi; Ascomycota; Sordariomycetes; Hypocreales; Nectriaceae
Description: eukaryotic LSU rRNA
Rfam family: 5.8S ribosomal RNA (bases 115-268)
Source: RNAcentral